ACAUAAUAAACCACUUUAUUUUUUCUCUCUUUUUCUCUCUCUUUCAUUUCAUAGUCUCUCUUUCUCCUUCUCAGAAAUCUCAUCUUUCCUCUCAUAUCACUAACCCUAAACCCUCUUCUUUCUUCUCAUUCUACUUCUUCUUUCAAGUAACCAAAAUCUUUUAUAGUUUUUCUCUCACAUAUAAAUUUUGUUGUUGUUAUUGAGUGCUAAAUCUAUUUUUUAUUUGAUUUGCAGUUUCUAUUACAUAUAUUUGAACUUCAUUUGGGGCUACAGAUGCAUUCAAGUAACAGAUCUGAAAGGGAUUUGAACAAAUAUUCCUCUCUAUUCUUGGUCAAGCAUGUUCUGACAAUGAAGGAGGUUGAUUCAAAAGAAGAUAAAAAGAUUGAUAUGGAAGACUGGAAAGAUUAUAUGGCAAAAAAUUAUUCUCUUUUAAGAUUGAUAGUUAAUUUUAAAUAUUAUAUGAUAGAUGUAUCUAAAAUUAAAUAAAUAAUCAUACAUACUUAUUUUA
This is a long non-coding RNA of Vicia villosa (hairy vetch), 508 nucleotides long. RefSeq lists it as uncharacterized. The record is from RefSeq and is a predicted model, not a curated record. Lineage: Eukaryota; Viridiplantae; Streptophyta; Magnoliopsida; Fabales; Fabaceae. The transcript has 4 exons.